RNAcentral lists this long non-coding RNA (5816 nucleotides) under Theobroma cacao (cacao). RNAcentral describes it as "long non-coding RNA (TCAC_LNC003349)". The record is from RNAcentral. Lineage: Eukaryota; Viridiplantae; Streptophyta; Magnoliopsida; Malvales; Malvaceae.
UUGAUUCAUGUUAUAUGAUAAGUUUGUUAUUUUGCCACAUAAAGAGGAGUAUUGGAGUAGUGAUAAAAGAAAUCUCGCAUUUGUUAAAUUAAGGGUAUUUUAGGCAUACAAAUGUAUAAGGGCCUCUCCACCUGUUGUCAAUUGACUUUAGGUUUGAUGUUUUCCCUAAAAAUUCAACAUGAUAUCAAAGCAGGUUGUCUAUUUUUAAUUCUUUUCUAAACCCUUGUCCUUAUACUAUUUAAAUUGUACCUAGCCUUCCCCAAAAAUCACCACUAGCCAAUAUCAUAGGCAUAAUACGAUUAUUACCCAUUACAAGAGAAGCCAUUUGGUGUAACCUUGUCACCUAACAUCAUUGAAAACUAUGGUACUGGAUUUUACACUAUUUCAAAUUUUGUUGAAUCCACAUCACUUUUCGACCAUCAAAUCACAACACUGUCACUUUUAAUUGCCCUGUUGUUUUCUUGAUCUAUUAAACAAUCUUAGAUGGAGCUCUAUUAGAUGUCACAUGUGCCACCACACAUCUACAUGCUUGGGAAGCUCUUGCCUCACGUGCCCGCAUGUUGGUUGCCUUAUCUUGACAUCAUUUGCCAUUUCUCAGCAUGUCACAUCUUCUACCACAUUAACAUACUAUUUAUUUGCCAUGUGUAUUGCCACGCCAAUAGCCAAAUCACCUUAUUGCAACGUGUCUUGCCAUGUCAAGACUUUCAUGAGGUCACUAUUUUUGCUAAUUUUGACCUCUUAAUUUUGAAUUUAACCUUUGUUUUUGCUAAUAUUUACGGUAAGAUGGAGAAAUCUGAAGCUUUUAGCAAUUGUAAUUGUUCUGAUGAAAAAAAAUUUAAUUUUAUGGGUCAAAGGUAUGAUAAGUUAUCUAAUUAGACAUAAAUAUUGGCACAUUGUCACCGGAAACAUUAUUCAACCUAUACAUGGGGCCAAUGAGCCUAUUAUCAAGUUUGUACUUGAAGAUUAGGUUAGCAAAACUCAUUAAAUCAUUACUUGGUUUUCUAACACCUCUCUUCCAAAUAUUCAUGUUCAUUUGGGAUUUUCGUAUCACUAGGCAUAAAAUUUUUGGACUUGCUCACUAUUAUCAAUUGUGGACUAUUCACAAUUUGAAAUAGGAUUCGGCAAAUCAUUGAUGAUGUUUUGGCCUAAGUUUAACCUAUUUAGAAUCAACUACUGUAGGCUAAAAUUAAUGAGGAUCACCUUUAUCUUUCUUAAGGUUCUCAUGGCUUUUGGUCUAGAAAAUGAAGCUGUUAGAGUUUCAUUGCUGCAUGGUAGUCCACUUCUGACAUUAGAUAUUGCUAUUCAAGAAAUUAUUUUUGAGGAGACACGUCUUGACUUGGAUAAAUCUCCACAGGUUGAUGUUGCUCUUACUACUACUAAUUCCUAACCAUUAAACCAAAAAUCUAACAUUAAGUUCUAUAAGAAUUAUUGACAAAAAAGUCUCAAUUUUCUAAUUGCCUAACAAUUGAAUGCAUGUUUUGUCAUAAGGUUGGGCAUUUACAUAUAUUAAAAGUUAUCCCAAGGACAAUUGAGGGGUUAAUUGCUGGCCAUGUGGCAUGGCCAAUUGAACCCUUGGGACACGUUUGCCAUUCUUGACAAAGUCAAGGCUUUAUUUUUCAUUUGAUCUCUUUCUAGUAUUUUUAUCUUUUCCUUCAUGACAGUUAUCAUGCGGUUUUUUGGCCAUCAAAGCCUUCAUUUGAUCGGUUUUUCCUUUCCAAAAACAAGGGUCACUUUGGGUUUCUGUUUGAGGUUUUUCAACUGUUUUGGUUUUGGGUUUUGCCACUGGGGUUUGUUGCUUCUCCGAUUGAUUUGUAUGAUAUAUUCAGUUUUUUAUGUAUUGGCUUUUUGCAUAUGCCGGUUGGGUUUUCUUGCAUUUGGGAUUUUGCUUGUCAGGGUAGGGUGCUUUUGGGUUUUUAUUCUUAAUUUAUUUGUUGGCGUUUUAGCUUGAGAUUCUUCUAAUGUUUUUGUUUUGGGUUUUGUCGCUUGGGUUUCUUGCUUCUCUUGUUGAUAUGCUUGAUAUCAACCAAAACAAGGGUUUUUAUUUUAGAUUUCAACCCGACUCUUUGCAUGUAUCUUAGAGUAAAAAGCACAUGGGUUUCUUGCUUUUCCUAUUGAUUUGCUUGAUAUAACAUGAAAUUUACCACUUUGGCUUGUUGCUUUUUCAGUUGAUUUACAUUACAUAUCAGUUUUGCAUGUAUUGGCUUCUUGCAUGUGCUACUUGGAUUUUCUUGCAUUUGGGAUUUUUCUUGCCAAGGCAGGGUGCUUUUGGGGUUUUUAUUCUUUAUUUGUCUGAUAGGGUUUUGGCCUGAGAUUCUUCCGGUGUUUUUAUUUUCAGUUUUGUCGCAUGGGUUUCUUGCUUCUCCUAUUGAUUUGCUUGAUAUUAGUUGAAGCAAGGGUUGUUGAUUUCAAAUUUCAAUUUGACUUUUUACAUGUAUCUUAGAGUAAAAAGUUUUUGAUUUGCGCAAUUUAUCAAGUUGAAGGUAUGACAUUUUGAGAAAUAUAAACAAUAAAUUGUGUAGGUGUUGUUGCAUAUGAUUGAUUAGCAAUGAGUGAUUGUGGUUGUGUAUAAAUAUCUUACUAUGAAACUCAACUACUCUUUUCAAUUCAACUUAUUUAUAAUUGUACUUUUUUCUCUUAUUAUUUUCCUAGUGUUUUGUAUGAAACUACUAUAAUUGUACUUAGGAUUUCUGAUUUCUUUCAAUUUUCGUAACACGUAUACAUCAUUGGAUUAAAGUAAAAAGUUUUUGAUUUUGACAAUUUAUCAAGUCGAAGGUAUGCCAUUUUGAGAACUAUAAACAAUAGAUUGUGUAACUGUUAUUACAUGUGAUUGAUUAGCAAUGAGUGAUUGUGGUUAUGUAUAAAUAUCUUGCUAUGAAACUUAACUAUUCUUUUCAAUUCAGAUUAUUUAUAAUUGUACUUUUUUUCUCUUAUUAUUUUCCCAAUGUUCUAUAAAAAAUUACUAUAAUUGUACUUACGAUUUCUUUCAAUUUUCAUAACACAUAUACAUCAUUGGAUUAAGUGUUCAAUGUUAUUCCAAGUUUUGCUUCCUCCACUACUUUUUUUGAAUAAAUUGACAAAUUUACACUAUUUAGAUUGUUCAUAAGAUUGUAUUUUAUUCUCUACUAUUAUUGUUUUCUUAUUGUAUUUUGUUUUAACUUGAGCAUGUAGAGGUGUUGGAAGAGAAUCUUAAUUGGGAAGAUGUACAGUGGUCACAAAUAAGUGUUUGGAUAGCUGGAAAAGAGUACGUUGUUACUCGGGUGCAUUUUCUAUCUUUUAUUUUCAUGUUUGGUAUCACAUGUACAACCAUUUGUGAUGUUUUUAUUUGUUAAUGAAAAUUACAAAUGUUAAACUGUUACGACCCGAUACUUCCCUCAAAUCCGUGACAACCAUCGCGGUAUCCCGGUAGACACUCAUUACCCGAAAUGUCAAACCAAAAUCCUGUAAGGCUUUAAUAUCAGUAUCUCAUUUCCCUUGUGAGCAACCAUUGUCAAAUAUCGUGUUUUAAAAGAUUUUAAGCUGUUUCUAGCUUAAAACAAAUAAAAUAUUAAUAUUUGUCUCACUGGGGUAUUUUGGUCAUUUUUUUAAAAAUUUCGAAAUCAGCCAAUAAUGUAGUAUAUAAGUGCAGAACACAUAUUUCAAAAUCAAAAAUAAAUUUAGAUGUCUAAAACAUUCGUUUAAAACGAAAUUAUGAUUAUUUGGAUAUAAUAAGAAAAUAAAAUAAAUAUUAAGUAAAAUAUUUUAUUUUCUUAUUAAACAAUAUUUUCAGAGUUAUAUGUAGAUAAUUUUUGUAGCAUAAAAGUAAAGUAAAUUCAUACAUACUGUAAUACAGUAAAUCAGAGUAUUUAAUUUAAUUUACAAUGACCAGUGGGCUUCCGAAUAAUCAAAAGUAAAGAGGACUGUGAACCUACAGUUUCAAGAAAUGCAAAUCCAAGGGUAGUUCUCAAUGAACUCAGCUAUCUACAACCUAAUAUGAAUCUGAAAUGGGUGACAAGAAUAGUGGUGAGAUUUUAUAAUCUCAGUGAGUAAACAAACAUCAUCCGAAAUAUCUAAAGUCGAGUAAAAGGAGACAAUUAAAAUAUUUCAUCUCAAUAUGUAUUUCAUAACAUAAAUAUUCAUUUCAUUUAAAUAUUCAACAUGGCUUAUGAGUAUCUUAAAAGCUUGGUUCCUGCCAAAAUCAUUCUCGGGGAUACCUUGGUCAAGGCAUCUAACCGAGUCCGCCAAGGCUGUUAAAAAGUUCGAAUACACGUAAACAUAUUUUUAGUUUGACAAACACAGCCAUUCCUUGGCGUUAGCGGAGUUCAUCAUCACGAGGUGGUUCGGUGUGACGUGAACUAUGUCCAUACCUUAAGAGAUAUCCUACGCGCCUCUCCGACCGAGGUACAUAUAUAUAUAUAUCUGGAUUUCGUGCCCCUUUAAUAGGCUGGUUCACAGAAUCCGCCUACUGCAGUAAGCUAAACUCACAAUACAAUAAAAUUUUGACAGCAUGACAGGGCUAAUAUUUUACUUCCCAGCCUGCAAGGGUAAAAUAAAACAAUUCAUACAAUUCAUAAAACACAACCCAGCCAGUCAUGCCAACACAAUAACAAUAUGACAUAAGCCAUCAAUUUCCAAUCAUAGAUUUACAACAUACCGGUGGUCUCCAAUUACUCUAUUUUCAAAAUCGUUAUUUCGUUUCAAGACAAUUUAUAAAAUCUUUUUAUUUAAACACAUUUUGUUUACAAAACAUAAAAAUUUACCAUUUGAACUCAUUUUCAUAAAAUUUACCAAAAUCUUAUAAAAACAUACUUUAGAUAAUUAAAAUGAUGGUAAGGUUACUCAUUAUUUCGAGAAUCGAAUUUCUAGAGUACUAUGACUACUGAUCAUCGAGUACAAUUUUCUUACCUUUAUCGGAGGAUUCACCACCUAGACAUAGUACAAAAUCGAGAAACUUACUAUAUUGGUACUAAAUCAAAAUUAAACUAAUUUAGACUACUAAUGCAUGAUAUGUAAUGUAAAAAUGUCCGAAUAGCCGUUUAAAUACGGUAUUCGACCUAAUUCGCACUAUUCUCGGUGUAAUUAGCUAAAACCUCCAAUUUAACUCCAAAUCGAUUUCUUUCACUUUCUACACUCCAAUUAUACUUAAAAUACCUCAAUGACUGUGAAUAUGAUUCAAUUUAUCAGUCCGAAUCAUAAAUCGUACAUGUCUAUACAUUAGGUAAAAAUUCAGAUUUUCAUGCCAAAAUUUCCUAUUAAAUUUCUAGCCUCACCAAUCAUUAAAUAUCACCAAAUUAUCAUGAAAUAUCAUCAAUUUCAGCCUCAAUAUUCUCCCUAGAAAAUUCAGCCCCUUAUGGGUAAUGGGAGAAAAUGAAUUUUUUUCUUGUUAUUUUGUUUCUAAAUAUGCUAAACUAACUAAAAACACUAACAUAACUUAGAAUCAAAUCAAUCCAACUUCAUUCUCUCUCCAUACCCAUUUGGUCAGCCAUGAAUUCACCAUGAAAACNNNNNNNNNNNNNNNNNNNNNNNNNNNNNNNNNNNNUUUUCUUGUUGUUUUGUUUCUAAAUAUGCUAAACUAACUAAAAACACUAACAUAACUUAGAAUCAAAUCAAUCCAACUUCAUUCUCUCUCCAUACCCAUUUGGUCAGCCAUGAAUUCACCAUGAAAACUUGAGUUCUAAGCAUGAAAAAUGAAAAAGAAAGCAUGGGUAGUGUAAAUCACAAGAUAAAAUCACAAAAUUUUACCUUUAUUAGCUUAAUCCCUUGAAAUCCACACUUUUUCUUCAAUUUUCCCACCUAGGUUUUGUUCUUUCUUUGUUGAACUUCACUUCAUGCUUUGGCCG